This 1017-nucleotide ribosomal RNA is filed under the name uncultured bacterium. RNAcentral describes it as "bacterial SSU rRNA". It matches the Rfam family "Bacterial small subunit ribosomal RNA", at positions 355 to 1375 of the family's 1533-position model. The record is from RNAcentral.
UGAGGAAUAUUGGUCAAUGGACGAGAGUCUGAACCAGCCAAGUAGCGUGAAGGAUGACUGCCCUAUGGGUUGUAAACUUCUUUUAUACGGGAAUAAAGUGAGGCACGUGUGCCUUUUUGUAUGUACCGUAUGAAUAAGGAUCGGCUAACUCCGUGCCAGCAGCCGCGGUAAUACGGAGGAUCCGAGCGUUAUCCGGAUUUAUUGGGUUUAAAGGGAGCGUAGGCGGACGCUUAAGUCAGUUGUGAAAGUUUGCGGCUCAACCGUAAAAUUGCAAUUGAUACUGGGUGUCUUGAGUACAGUAGAGGCAGGCGGAAUUCGUGGUGUAGCGGUGAAAUGCUUAGAUAUCACGAAGAACUCCGAUUGCGAAGGCAGCUUGCUGGACUGUAACUGACGCUGAUGCUCGAAAGUGUGGGUAUCAAACAGGAUUAGAUACCCUGGUAGUCCACACAGUAAACGAUGAAUACUCGCUGUUUGCGAUAUACAGUAAGCGGCCAAGCGAAAGCGUUAAGUAUUCCACCUGGGGAGUACGCCGGCAACGGUGAAACUCAAAGGAAUUGACGGGGGCCCGCACAAGCGGAGGAACAUGUGGUUUAAUUCGAUGAUACGCGAGGAACCUUACCCGGGCUUGAAUUGCAACUGAAUGAUGUGGAGACAUGUCAGCCGCAAGGCAGUUGUGAAGGUGCUGCAUGGUUGUCGUCAGCUCGUGCCGUGAGGUGUCGGCUUAAGUGCCAUAACGAGCGCAACCCUUAUCGAUAGUUACCAUCAGGUUAUGCUGGGGACUCUGUCGAGACUGCCGUCGUAAGAUGUGAGGAAGGUGGGGAUGACGUCAAAUCAGCACGGCCCUUACGUCCGGGGCUACACACGUGUUACAAUGGGGGGUACAGAAGGCAGCUACACGGCGACGUGAUGCUAAUCCCUAAAGCCUCUCUCAGUUCGGAUUGGAGUCUGCAACCCGACUCCAUGAAGCUGGAUUCGCUAGUAAUCGCGCAUCAGCCACGGCGCGGUGAAUACGUUCCC